Molecule: long non-coding RNA, 200 nt
Filed under: Prunus persica (peach)
Lineage: Eukaryota; Viridiplantae; Streptophyta; Magnoliopsida; Rosales; Rosaceae
Description: long non-coding RNA (PPER_LNC006617)
Source: RNAcentral
GGAAAUGUAAAUCCCUCUUUCUCUUUAUUGUGGGGGGCCACAAGCAUUAAUUUAAUAUAUAUAUAUAUAUAUAUAUAUUGUCCUAAGUUGUACAAUGUAAAGGCAAUAUAUAUACUAUUUCAGAAUUUUGGGAGGGCCAAGGCCCUUGCAGGCCCAAGCACACCUCCGCCCCUGUCUCUCCUCCUUUUCUUUAGGCCUCU